Molecule: ribosomal RNA, 112 nt
Filed under: Escherichia coli DEC10A
Lineage: Bacteria; Pseudomonadati; Pseudomonadota; Gammaproteobacteria; Enterobacterales; Enterobacteriaceae
Source: RNAcentral
UGGCGGCCUUAGCGCGGUGGUCCCACCUGACCCCAUGCCGAACUCAGAAGUGAAACGCCGUAGCGCCGAUGGUAGUGUGGGGUUUCCCCAUGCGAGAGUAGGGAACUGCCAG